Drosophila melanogaster (fruit fly) is the source of this 26-nucleotide non-coding RNA. The record is from Ensembl. Lineage: Eukaryota; Metazoa; Arthropoda; Insecta; Diptera; Drosophilidae.
CCUGGAAUUAAGUUGACUGUGUAGCC